RNAcentral lists this ribosomal RNA (354 nucleotides) under Triticum aestivum (bread wheat). RNAcentral describes it as "partial small subunit ribosomal RNA". The record is from RNAcentral. Lineage: Eukaryota; Viridiplantae; Streptophyta; Magnoliopsida; Poales; Poaceae.
AUGUGGAACUAUGGGUUAUGGGCCCACCAUGUGGUUAAAAGUAGGAAGGAUAUUGACAUCUUGCACGGUCAUGAUAGCAAGACAUGUCAGAGGGUAGCCUAUCAGUUAUGUUGGCAACAAUGUCGAUACCAAGGGCGAGGGACGAAGAGAACCAUUUUCCUGCUCAUUGAACGAGGCGGACCAUUAGGCAAAGUUCUCGUCCAUCGGUGGUUACCGGAAUGCUAUCAACAAAAGCAACAGGGUCUUACUGACACGGUUGUACACCAAGGUGUUUACAUAAACAAAAGAACAUUACUGCUUAGAUCAUAUAGGUCAUCAGAAAGGGUAAACAAAACAAUGGAAAGGAAAAGGUGA